This 529-nucleotide long non-coding RNA is filed under the name Vigna radiata. Its description in RNAcentral is "long non-coding RNA (VRAD_LNC015770)". Lineage: Eukaryota; Viridiplantae; Streptophyta; Magnoliopsida; Fabales; Fabaceae. The record is from RNAcentral.
AUGGAUUUAACAGUUCUCACCAAGCAAGUGUUUCACUCAAUCACUCAAGUGUUUAGGAGGUCACUCUACUCUCUACUAUUCACAUGUCUCAUAAAACAAUAUUGUCAUUCAUCUAAAACAAUCAAAAUCUUCACAUGCAUAUGUCAUCACAAGGACUUUUUCCAAGGCUUUUAUUAUGGCUGGGCUAUCAAGAAAAUUGGUUUUUCUGGAAUACAAAAUCCUUGAGUUAAGAGAGUUUAAUUCAUCAUUCAAAGUUCAAGCUCUUUUUAACCAAUCUCACUCAUUCCCAACUUUUUCCCUUUUCAUUUUACAUUGAGUUCUUCUUUACAUGCUUUUCUCUUUUCUUCUUUUCUUUUCUUUCACAUGCAUUUUUCUUUUUCAUAUUUUGAACUCAAUGCUUUUUACUUUUUCCUUUUACUUUCCCCAUACAACCCCAAACUUGAACCUUUUUAUCACAUAUAAUUAUUCUCAACCCCAACUCAAGGUAAAUCAAUUCAAACAAGGGUUUUCAUACUAUUUAAGGCCAAGG